This 426-nucleotide ribosomal RNA is filed under the name Triticum aestivum (bread wheat). RNAcentral describes it as "partial small subunit ribosomal RNA". Lineage: Eukaryota; Viridiplantae; Streptophyta; Magnoliopsida; Poales; Poaceae. The record is from RNAcentral.
AUGGCAAGGACGCGGGUCGUCAUGGACAAACUUGAACAAGAACUCGACGCCAUGCAUUCUGCUGAAAAUGGAGGUGUCGCGGAAAAUGAAGCCAUUGAGAAGGAUAUUGCUACAAUGUUAUCCGAGAUGAACCACAUGGGAGCUAUUGACCCAUUUGAGAACGAGGAAGAGGAGCAGCAGCAACUGGAGCUUGCCUGUGUGCACACUCAAGAGCACCGACAAACUCACAUGCGAGAUCAUGAGCUCGAUGGUGUUGUAGGCGAACAACAUGACAAUAGCACAUCCUACCAGCAGCAGCAGGAAAGGGUGAUUAAACCCCCAAUAUUCUCAAACACAAAGGGGAGGAAGAGCAAGCAGCAGCCAAAAAGCCACCAUGCCCCAUCAAGCACGUGGAAUUUGGCCCGGACAGCAAACCCCUCGGGGUAA